GUGCCAGCAGCCGCGGUAAUACGUAGGGGGCUAGCGUUGUCCGGAAUUACUGGGUGUAAAGCGCGUGUAGGCGGGAGGCCAAGUCUGCUGUGAAAUCGCCUGGCUCAACUGGGCGGGGUCGGUGGAAACUGGUCACCUGGAGGACGGUAGAGGCGAGUGGAAUUCCCGGUGUAGUGGUGAAAUGCGUAGAUAUCUGGAGGAACACCGGUGGCGAAGGCGGCAUCCUGGGCCGACACUGACGCUGAAGCGCGAAAGCCAGGGGAGCGAACGGGAUUAGAUACCCCGGUAGUCC
RNAcentral lists this ribosomal RNA (292 nucleotides) under uncultured bacterium. Its description in RNAcentral is "partial 16S ribosomal RNA". It matches the Rfam family "Bacterial small subunit ribosomal RNA", at positions 505 to 796 of the family's 1533-position model. The record is from RNAcentral.